GGACCUGUGGCGCAGCGGUAGCGCGUCUGAUUCCAGUGCGUGUAUCCAGAAGGUCAUCCGUUCAAAUCGGGUCAGGUUCA
Molecule: transfer RNA, 80 nt
Rfam family: tRNA
About the family: Transfer RNA (tRNA) molecules are approximately 80 nucleotides in length. Their secondary structure includes four short double-helical elements and three loops (D, anti-codon, and T loops). Further hydrogen bonds mediate the characteristic L-shaped molecular structure. tRNAs have two regions of fundamental functional importance: the anti-codon, which is responsible for specific mRNA codon recognition, and the 3' end, to which the tRNAs corresponding amino acid is attached (by aminoacyl-tRNA synthetases). tRNAs cope with the degeneracy of the genetic code in two manners: having more than one tRNA (with a specific anti-codon) for a particular amino acid; and 'wobble' base-pairing, i.e. permitting non-standard base-pairing at the 3rd anti-codon position.
Source: Rfam